Molecule: ribosomal RNA, 276 nt
Filed under: uncultured bacterium
Lineage: Bacteria
Description: partial 16S ribosomal RNA
Rfam family: Bacterial small subunit ribosomal RNA
Source: RNAcentral
GGUUAGUGGCGGACGGGUGAGUAACGCGUGAGAAUCUGCCCUCAGGAGGGGGAUAACAGUUGGAAAGAACUGCUAAUACCCCAUAUGCCGAGAGGUGAAACGAAUUUUGCCUGGGGAUGAGCUCGCGUCUGAUUAGCUUGUUGGUGGGGUAAAAGCCUACCAAGGCUUCGAUCAGUAGCUGGUCUGAGAGGACGAUCAGCCACACUGGGACUGAGAUACGGCCCAGACUCCUACGGGAGGCAGCAGUGGGGAAUUUUCCGCACUGGGCGCAAGCCU